CCUACGGGAGACAGCAGUGGGGAAUAUUGGGCAAUGGGCGCAAGCCUGACCCAGCAACGCCGCGUGAAGGAAGAAGGCUUUCGGGUUGUAAACUUCUUUUCUCAGGGACGAAGAAAGUGACGGUACCUGAGGAAUAAGCCACGGCUAACUACGUGCCAGCAGCCGCGGUAAUACGGAGGUGGCAAGCGUUAUCCGGAUUUACUGGGUGUAAAGGGCGUGUAGGCGGGAAAGCAAGUCAGAUGUGAAAACCAUGGGCUCAACCUGUGGCCUGCAUUUGAAACUGUUUUUCUUGAGUACUGGAGAGGCAGACGGAAUUCCUCGUGUAGCGGUGAAAUGCGUAGAUAUGAGGAGGAACACCAGUGGCGAAGGCGGUCUGCUGGACAGCAACUGACGCUGAGGCGCGAAAGCGUGGGGAGCAAACAGGAUUAGAUACCCUUGUAGUC
RNAcentral lists this ribosomal RNA (443 nucleotides) under uncultured bacterium. RNAcentral describes it as "partial 16S ribosomal RNA". It matches the Rfam family "Bacterial small subunit ribosomal RNA", at positions 338 to 795 of the family's 1533-position model. The record is from RNAcentral.